UGAGGAAUAUUGGUCAAUGGGCGGAAGCCUGAACCAGCCAUGCCGCGUGAAGGACUAAGGCCCCAUGGGUCGUAAACUUCUUUAGACGCAGAGCAAUAAGGGUCUCGUGAGAUCCGAUGAGAGUAUGCGUAGAAUAAGCAUCGGCUAACUCCGUGCCAGCAGCCGCGGUAAUACGGGGGAUGCGAGCGUUAUCCGGAUUUAUUGGGUUUAAAGGGUGCGUAGGCGGAAGUGCAAGUCAGCGGUGAAAUCCCCGCGCUCAACGCGGGAGUUGCCGUUGAUACUGUACAUCUGGAAUGCUCGAGUGCGUGCGAGGAAGGCGGAAUGCGUUGUGUAGCGGUGAAAUGCAUAGAUAUGACGCAGAACUCCGAUUGCGAAGGCAGCUUUCCAGCGCGCUACUGACGCUGAGGGCACGAAAGC
This 417-nucleotide ribosomal RNA is filed under the name uncultured bacterium. Its description in RNAcentral is "bacterial SSU rRNA". It matches the Rfam family "Bacterial small subunit ribosomal RNA", at positions 355 to 760 of the family's 1533-position model. The record is from RNAcentral.